This 324-nucleotide ribosomal RNA is filed under the name uncultured eukaryote. RNAcentral describes it as "partial 18S ribosomal RNA". It matches the Rfam family "Eukaryotic small subunit ribosomal RNA", at positions 1470 to 1796 of the family's 1831-position model. The record is from RNAcentral.
CCCUUAGAUGCUCUGGGCCGCACGCGCGCUACUCUGGUCGAUGCAACGAGUUUCUUUCCUUGGCCGACAGGCCUGGGCAAUCUUUGAACAUCGAUCGUGAUCGGGAUAGAUUCUUGUAAUUUUUGAUCUUAAACGAGGAAUUCCUAGUAAACGCAAGUCAUCAGCUUGCAUUGAUUACGUCCCUGCCCUUUGUACACACCGCCCGUCGCACCUACCGAUUGAAUGGUCCGGUGAAAUCUCCGGACUGGCGUGAGUCGGAGCAAUCUGACAAACGCCGGAAAGUUGAUUAAACCUUACCAUUUAGAGGAAGGUGAAGUCGUAACA